This is a long non-coding RNA of Rhipicephalus microplus (southern cattle tick), 419 nucleotides long. NCBI's taxonomy places the organism in Eukaryota, Metazoa, Arthropoda, Arachnida, Ixodida, Ixodidae. The record is from RefSeq and is a predicted model, not a curated record.
CUUUGUGAAGAUGGCUAUUUGUUUCUUGGUUCGCGGCUUGGGAAUUCCUUACUGCUUCAUUAUACUGAGAAGGCUGCUGAAGUGGAUGACAUUGCAAAACGAGAUGAAAAAACUGAGAGUGAUGCCAAUGACCUCCUUCCAAAAAGAAAAGGAUGGACGCCAUUGGGGACUGGAUGGCUUCCGAUGUUGCACUCAUUGAUCCGGAUGAACUGGAAGUGUACGGAAGUGAAACCAUGGCAACGAAGCAACUGACAUCAUACACUUUUGAGGUCUGUGACAGCUUGAUUAACAUUGGACCGUGUGGGAAAAUAUGUAUGGGUGAACCAGCAUUUCUUUCUGAAGAGUUUGUUCAAAACUCUGAUGCAGACCUAGAGCUUGUCACUACAGCUGGCUAUGGAAAAAAUGGAGCACUUUGUGUA